This 374-nucleotide transfer-messenger RNA is filed under the name Parvularcula sp. It matches the Rfam family "Alphaproteobacteria transfer-messenger RNA". From Rfam's summary of the family: Bacterial tmRNA, also known as 10Sa RNA or SsrA, is named for its dual tRNA and mRNA-like properties. Its role is to liberate the mRNA from a stalled ribosome. To accomplish this part of the tmRNA is used as a reading frame that ends in a translation stop signal. The record is from RNAcentral. Lineage: Bacteria; Pseudomonadati; Pseudomonadota; Alphaproteobacteria; Parvularculales; Parvularculaceae.
GGUCUUUAAAUCUUUACCCCCGGAGCCUAUAUUUCUUGUGCUCGCGCAAGCGGGCUAUGGCGAUAAAUGACGCGUGCAAUAACCGUAUCGGACCCGGGGGCGGUACCCGGCGGCUCCACCAAAACCCCUCUCCCGAAAAGCUUUGGGGGGAGGCUUCGGCGGGGCCGAAAUAGGAUCGACGAGCGUCUAAAGACGAUGUUUUCGCCCGGUUUGCCUCCGUUAUUUGGCUACAACUGAAUAGUUGCCAACGACAACUACUCGGAAGAACUCGCUCUCGCUGCGUAACGCGGCUGAGCAGUUCGCUUUUUAAAGCCCUAGCCCCUUUCCAAGGCUAGGCGGGGCCCCCCGGCGCCUGGCAACAGAAGCCGGGGACU